Molecule: ribosomal RNA, 253 nt
Filed under: uncultured bacterium
Lineage: Bacteria
Description: partial 16S ribosomal RNA
Rfam family: Bacterial small subunit ribosomal RNA
Source: RNAcentral
UACAGAGGUCCCAAGCGUUGUUCGGAUUUACUGGGCGUAAAGGGUGCGUAGGUGGUCGGGCAAGUCUCAUGUGAAAUCUCCAAGCUUAACUUGGAAAUGGCAUGGGAUACUAUUCGGCUAGAGGAUUGGAGGGGGGACUGGAGUUCCCGGUGUAGCAGUGAAAUGCGUAGAUAUCGGGAGGAACACCAGUGGCGAAGGCGAGUCCCUGGACAAUUCCUGACGCUGAGGCACGAAAGCUAGGGGAGCAAACAGG